RNAcentral lists this ribosomal RNA (232 nucleotides) under uncultured bacterium. RNAcentral's name for it is "partial 16S ribosomal RNA". It matches the Rfam family "Bacterial small subunit ribosomal RNA", at positions 99 to 334 of the family's 1533-position model. The record is from RNAcentral.
CGGACGGGUGGGUAAUGUCUGGGAAACUGCCUGAUGAGGGGGAGUAACUACUGGAAACGGUAGCUAAUACCGCAUAACGUCGCAAGACCAAAGAGGGGGACCUUCGGGCCUCUUGCCAUCGGAUGUGCCCAGAUGGGAUUAGCUAGUAGGUGGGGUAACGGCUCACCUAGGCGACGAUCCCUAGCUGGUCUGAGAGGAUGACCAGCCACACUGGAACUGAGACACGGUCCAG